AUGGAAUUUUAGAAAAAUACACGAGUUAUUCAACUUAUUCAAUUAGUAACUAAAACCCAACUCCAGCAUCCCGCGAUAAAAGAGAACCAAGCAAAGUUAACCUUUAGAUCAUUUAGAGACCAGCUUUCAAACAUUUUUCCAAAACCAAACUAUGGUUGAAUGGUGAUAUAGGCGGCAGACGCAUACACACAGUUACACGUUAAAUGAAUUCUAAGAUUAGAUGAGCAUAUAAACAUUCAUCAAUUCACAUGUGAAAUCAUAGAAAGGGCUGAAAGCAAAGCAGUAAAUACAACCUAACACAACCACACAAACUUUGCUAUUAUCUAAAACUUAGUCAAUUUACAAUUAUCUAGGAUUUGCUUGGAAGUAGAAACAUAUGACAAGAAAAGGAAUACACCUGGAAUUAAACCGAAUUCAUCACGACACUAAAAUUGACCAAAAGAGAAUAACCAACAGCUAAACAACAGUCCUCUAGCAGCAACAGAUUCGACUUCAAAUGACUUCCAUUUUUAACCCAAAAAUCCAGAAUUACAACGAAAAGAUGAGUUCUAGAGGUCUCAAAGACAAAAACUCUAAACAACAAUCGACAAGAAAAAUGAAAUAACAGCACCCUCAGUGAUUUUGUGUUGUUCCAGUAUCAGAAAUAUAAGAACGAAAUAAGCUGAAAAUAAUCUCUUCAGUUCCUUUCCGAAAAAUCUCUCCAACUCUCAAAAUUUUCUCCUUAUCCUAAAAAUCGGAACCGGCACUAUUUGAAAACGAAUCCCUGAUGAAUGUGGUGCUUUGGAUUGAACAAAAUCAAUCCAAUGCCUCAUAUACAUCCAGCGAAUCUGCUCCAGAACCUUCCAAUUGUGAGAUAUAUCCAAUUCAAUCGAGUGAGAGGAGAUGGGAAUCUCGCGUCAGAAACCGUUAGAACGGUAAGAGGAGGGAUGGCGAAAGAUUAGGGCUGCGUCGUUUAAGCUCGAGAGAUUAGGGCUUUA
RNAcentral lists this long non-coding RNA (977 nucleotides) under Nicotiana benthamiana. Its description in RNAcentral is "long non-coding RNA (NBEN_LNC039022)". The record is from RNAcentral. Lineage: Eukaryota; Viridiplantae; Streptophyta; Magnoliopsida; Solanales; Solanaceae.